This 253-nucleotide ribosomal RNA is filed under the name uncultured bacterium. Its description in RNAcentral is "partial 16S ribosomal RNA". It matches the Rfam family "Bacterial small subunit ribosomal RNA", at positions 524 to 776 of the family's 1533-position model. The record is from RNAcentral.
UACGUAGGGUGCAAGCGUUAAUCGGAAUUACUGGGCGUAAAGCGUGCGCAGGCGGUUCGCUAAGACAGAUGUGAAAUCCCCGGGCUUAACCUGGGAACUGCAUUUGUGACUGGCGGGCUAGAGUGUGGCAGAGGGGGGUAGAAUUCCACGUGUAGCAGUGAAAUGCGUAGAGAUGUGGAGGAAUACCGAUGGCGAAGGCAGCCCCCUGGGCCAAUACUGACGCUCAUGCACGAAAGCGUGGGGAGCAAACAGG